Molecule: ribosomal RNA, 533 nt
Filed under: Pseudomonas sp.
Lineage: Bacteria; Pseudomonadati; Pseudomonadota; Gammaproteobacteria; Pseudomonadales; Pseudomonadaceae
Also listed under: 1 other name
Description: bacterial SSU rRNA
Rfam family: Bacterial small subunit ribosomal RNA
Source: RNAcentral
UGCAAGUCGAGCGGCAGCACGGGAGCUUGCUCCUGGUGGCGAGCGGCGGACGGGUGAGUAAUGCCUAGGAAUCUGCCUGGUAGUGGGGGAUAACAACCGGAAACGGUUGCUAAUACCGCAUACGUCCUACGGGAGAAAGUGGGGGAUCUUCGGACCUCACGCUAUCAGAUGAGCCUAGGUCGGAUUAGCUAGUUGGUGGGGUAAAGGCCCACCAAGGCGACGAUCCGUAACUGGUCUGAGAGGAUGAUCAGUCACACUGGAACUGAGACACGGUCCAGACUCCUACGGGAGGCAGCAGUGGGGAAUAUUGGACAAUGGGCGAAAGCCUGAUCCAGCCAUGCCGCGUGUGUGAAGAAGGUCUUCGGAUUGUAAAGCACUUUAAGUUGGGAGGAAGGGUCGUUAUCUAAUACGUGACGGCUUUGACGUUACCGACAGAAUAAGCACCGGCUAACUCUGUGCCAGCAGCCGCGGUAAUACAGAGGGUGCAAGCGUUAAUCGGAAUUACUGGGCGUAAAGCGCGCGUAGGUGGUUUG